This 253-nucleotide ribosomal RNA is filed under the name uncultured bacterium. Its description in RNAcentral is "partial 16S ribosomal RNA". It matches the Rfam family "Bacterial small subunit ribosomal RNA", at positions 524 to 776 of the family's 1533-position model. The record is from RNAcentral.
UACGAAGGGGGCUAGCGUUGCUCGGAAUUACUGGGCGUAAAGCGCACGUAGGCGGACCGAUAAGUCGGGGGUGAAAUCCUGGAGCUCAACUCCAGAACUGCCUCCGAAACUGCCGGCCUUGAGUUCGGGAGAGGUGAGUGGAACUGCGAGUGUAGAGGUGAAAUUCGUAGAUAUUCGCAAGAACACCAGUGGCGAAGGCGGCGAUCUGGGUCGAUACUGACGCUGAGGUGCGAAAGCGUGGGGAGCAAACAGG